RNAcentral lists this long non-coding RNA (486 nucleotides) under Setaria viridis. Its description in RNAcentral is "long non-coding RNA (SVIR_LNC003840)". The record is from RNAcentral. Lineage: Eukaryota; Viridiplantae; Streptophyta; Magnoliopsida; Poales; Poaceae.
GGGUGUUGAAAGUUUACUCCUUCAAGAGAAGACUAUAGCCUUGUGUCCACUUUGAUUACUGUGAGCACAAGCAGUUUUGGUAAAUUAAAAGAGCUAGGCGCAAUAUUUCGUUUUUGUAGAAUAUGCCUGGAUAAAAAGCUCAUACUAAGAAUUUCGUUCAAGAAAAAAACCUUUAUAAGAAUAAAAUAGAUGGCCAUGUGAGAUUUUUCCUUUAUCUAAAAAAUAAUAAAAUAGCUUAUAAGGAGGCUGCAACAGGGAUAGUGCUAAGCGGGGAAAAAGUAAAUUGGGUCUCAUAAAAAGGAUAUGAGGGUGAAAAACACAAUAUUUUUAUUUUUUUCCCCAAAAGAUACGCCAUUUAGGAAAUCAAGUGAAAUAAUUCCUACCCGCAAACUUUACUUAAAGCAUUUCAACCAUAGGAUUUAUCAUCCAACUAUUCUAGAUUAUUUUAUUUUGUAAGAAAAUAUUGUAUCAAUAGUAGUAAUGCUA